GACGAACGCUGGCGGCGUGCUUAACACAUGCAAGUCGAACGGAAAGGCCCUGCUUUUGUGGGGUGCUCGAGUGGCGAACGGGUGAGUAACACGUGAGUAACCUGCCCUUGACUUUGGGAUAACUUCAGGAAACUGGGGCUAAUACCGGAUAGGAGCUCCUGCUGCAUGGUGGGGGUUGGAAAGUUUCGGCGGUUGGGGAUGGACUCGCGGCUUAUCAGCUUGUUGGUGGGGUAGUGGCUUACCAAGGCUUUGACGGGUAGCCGGCCUGAGAGGGUGACCGGACACAUUGGGACUGAGAUACGGCCCAGCCUCCUACGGGAGGCAGAAGUGGGGAAUAUUGCACAAUGGGCGGAAGCCUGAUGCAGCAACGCCGCGUGCGGGAUGACGGCCUUCGGGUUGUAAACCGCUUUCGCCUGUGACGAAGCGUGAGUGACGGUAAUGGGUAAAGAAGCACCGGCUAACUACGUG
Molecule: ribosomal RNA, 468 nt
Filed under: uncultured bacterium
Lineage: Bacteria
Description: partial 16S ribosomal RNA
Rfam family: Bacterial small subunit ribosomal RNA
Source: RNAcentral